This 351-nucleotide ribosomal RNA is filed under the name uncultured bacterium. Its description in RNAcentral is "bacterial SSU rRNA". It matches the Rfam family "Bacterial small subunit ribosomal RNA", at positions 8 to 350 of the family's 1533-position model. The record is from RNAcentral.
AGAGUUUGAUCCUGGCUCAGGAUGAACGCUAGCUACAGGCUUAACACAUGCAAGUCGAGGGGCAGCGGGAUUGAAGCUUGCUUCAAUUGCCGGCGACCGGCGCACGGGUGAGUAACGCGUAUCCAACCUUCCGUACACUCAGGGAUAGCCUUUCGAAAGAAAGAUUAAUACCUGAUGGUAUGAUGAAAUUGCAUGAUAGCAUCAUUAAAGAUUAUCGUGUACGAUGGGGAUGCGUUCCAUUAGGUAGUAGGCGGGGUAACGGCCACCUAGCCUACGAUGGAUAGGGGUUCUGAGAGGAACGGUCCCCCACAUUGGAACUAGAGACACGGUCCAAACUCCGUACGGGAGGCA